GAUGUACGCUGGCGGCGUGCCUAAUACAUGCAAGUCGAGCGAACGGACGAGAAGCUUGCUUCUCUGAUGUUAGCGGCGGACGGGUGAGUAACACGUGGAUAACCUACCUAUAAGACUGGGAUAACUUCGGGAAACCGUAGCUAAUACCGGAUAAUAUUUUGAACCGCAUGGUUCAAAAGUGAAAGACGGUCUUGCUGUCACUUAUAGAUGGUUCCGCGCUGCAUUAGCUAGUUGGUAAGGUAACGGCUUACCAAGGCAACGAUGCAUAGCCGACCUGGGAGGGUGAUAGGCCACACUGGAACUGAGACACGGUCCAGACUCCUACGGGAGGCAGCAGUAGGGAAUCUUCCGCAAUGGGCGAAAGCCUGGCGGAGCAACGCCGCGUGAGUGAUGAAGGUCUUCGGAUCGUAAAACUCUGUUAUUAGGGAAGAACAUAUGUGUAAGUAACUGUGCACAUCUGGACGGUACCUAAUCAGAAAGCCACGGCUAACUACGU
Molecule: ribosomal RNA, 496 nt
Filed under: uncultured bacterium
Lineage: Bacteria
Description: partial 16S ribosomal RNA
Rfam family: Bacterial small subunit ribosomal RNA
Source: RNAcentral